Molecule: ribosomal RNA, 89 nt
Filed under: uncultured Dinobryon
Lineage: Eukaryota; Chrysophyceae; Chromulinales
Description: partial Eukaryotic large subunit ribosomal RNA
Source: RNAcentral
CAUCCUUUCCUGUGCCGCACGGAUCCUUUGCUGAUAAGGACAACAACAGCAGCGAAUACUCGAUGACGAUGCCGCAGAGUCCAGCUACU